GAGGGUAUAGCUCAGUGGUAGAGCAUUCAAUUGCAGAUCGAAAGGUCCUCGCGCGGUUUAAACACGGCUGUCCUCU
Non-coding RNA from Trichonephila inaurata madagascariensis, 76 nucleotides. The record is from the annotation of a GenBank genome assembly. NCBI's taxonomy places the organism in Eukaryota, Metazoa, Arthropoda, Arachnida, Araneae, Nephilidae.